Molecule: non-coding RNA, 243 nt
Filed under: Clostridium pasteurianum
Lineage: Bacteria; Bacillati; Bacillota; Clostridia; Eubacteriales; Clostridiaceae
Description: T-box sequence
Rfam family: T-box leader
About the family: Uncharged tRNA acts as the effector for transcription antitermination of genes in the T-box leader family.
Source: RNAcentral
UUAAAUGUAAUGAAGGGAAGAAGUAUAUUAAGUAAAAUUUUUAGAGAGAAGUUCUCAAAGGCUGAGAGGAACUUUAAAUAGAGCUUAAUGGGAGUGCAUCCUGGAGCGCUGGAUUGAAUUAUAGUAGAUUUAAGCAGGUACGCCUGUUAUAGCGUAAAAGUAUUGUUGUACUUUAUAUGAGAUACUAUGUUUUAUUUAUGCAUGGUAAUCAGAGUGGAAUCGCGGAAAAAGUCUGCCUCUGUU